GACGAACGCUGGCGGCGUGCUUAACACAUGCAAGUCGAACGGAAAGGCCCUGCUUGCAGGGUCCUCGAGUGGCGAACGGGUGAGUAACACGUGGGUGAUCUGCCCUGCACUUCGGGAUAAGCCUGGGAAACUGGGUCUAAUACCGGAUAGGAGCCAUUUUUAGUGUGAUGGUUGGAAAGUUUUUUCGGUGUAGGAUGAGCUCGCGGCCUAUCAGCUUGUUGGUGGGGUAAUGGCCUACCAAGGCGGCGACGGGUAGCCGGCCUGAGAGGGUGGACGGCCACAUUGGGACUGGGAUACGGCCCAGGCUCCGACGGGAGGGAGAAGUGGGGAAGAUUGCACAAGGGGAGCAAGCCUGAUGCAGAGACGCCGCGGGGGGGAUGACGGCCUUCGGGUUGUAAACUCCUUUCGCUAGGGACGAAGCUUUUUGUGACGGUACCUAGAUAAGAAGCACCGGCUAACUACGUG
RNAcentral lists this ribosomal RNA (465 nucleotides) under uncultured bacterium. RNAcentral describes it as "partial 16S ribosomal RNA". It matches the Rfam family "Bacterial small subunit ribosomal RNA", at positions 28 to 507 of the family's 1533-position model. The record is from RNAcentral.